AUUGAACGCUGGCGGCAUGCCUUACACAUGCAAGUCGAACGGCAGCACGGGUGCUUGCACCUGGUGGCGAGUGGCGAACGGGUGAGUAAUACAUCGGAACAUGUCCUGUAGUGGGGGAUAGCCCGGCGAAAGCCGGAUUAAUACCGCAUACGAUCUACGGCUGAAAGCGGGGGCCCUUCGGGCCUCGCGCUAUAGGGUUGGCCGAUGGCUGAUUAGCUAGUUGGGGGGGUAAAGGCCUACCAAGGCGACGAUCAGUAGCUGGUCUGAGAGGACGACCAGCCACACUGGGACUGAGACACGGCCCAGACUCCUACGGGAGGCAGCAGUGGGGAAUUUUGGACAAUGGGCGAAAGCCUGAUCCAGCAAUGCCGCGUGUGUGAAGAAGGCCUUCGGGUUUUAAAGCACUUUUGUCCGGAAAGAAAUCCUUGGCCCUAAUACGGUCGGGGGAUGACGGUACCGGAAGAAUAAGCACCGGCUAACUACGUG
Molecule: ribosomal RNA, 486 nt
Filed under: uncultured bacterium
Lineage: Bacteria
Description: partial 16S ribosomal RNA
Rfam family: Bacterial small subunit ribosomal RNA
Source: RNAcentral